RNAcentral lists this long non-coding RNA (1077 nucleotides) under Elaeis guineensis (African oil palm). Its description in RNAcentral is "long non-coding RNA (EGUI_LNC045008)". The record is from RNAcentral. Lineage: Eukaryota; Viridiplantae; Streptophyta; Magnoliopsida; Arecales; Arecaceae.
GGUUUGCUGAAUUUUGUGAGGACCUAAAUAUCUCCCAUAACUUCACUUCGGUAGCCCAUCCGCAGGCAAACGGCGAGGUCGAGGUGACUAACAGGACUCUGUUGCAAGGAAUCAAGGCGAAACUUGAAAAAGCAAAGGAAACUUGGGCAUAUGAGCUUUAUCAUGUGUUAUGGGCAUACCGAACUACUCAGAGAUUGUCCACAGGGGAGACCCCCUUUGCCUUAGCCUUCGGGACAGAAGCCGUGAUCCCGAUUGAACUCAAGCUUCUGUCGGCGCGAGUCGUGGCAUUCGACGAGCAGCGCAACCCACAGGAUCUCAAAGCCAACCUCGACUUGUUAGAAGAAAAGCGGGAGACAGUUCAAGUUCGGAUGGCGGCUUACAAACAGAGAGUAGCCCGCUACUACAAUUCCCGAGUCAAAAGCAAAGCCUUCAGAGCGGGGGACCUGGUACUUCGGCGAGCCGCUGUCUCACAACCUUAGAAUCAAGGGAAAUUUGCCCCGAACUAGGAAGGCCCGUAUGAAGUCGAGGAGGUAGUCCGAACCGAAAAAUAUUAUCUAAAAGAGCUCGGAGGAGCAGACCUUCCACGACCAUGGAAUUCGAAAAAUAUGCGAAUGUAUUACCAAUAGCUUUGCCUUAAAUAAAAGUUUCAUAUUUGUAUAUUUUUUCUUUUAGCAUGAGCUUAUAACGGCAGGAAGUAACUCCCUCAUACAAUCGAAAUUAAGCGUAUUAGGAACAGGAGGAGAACCUCAUCCUAACAUGAGCAAAGUCGAAGGUCCAGUUACCUAAAGAUCGGAUGGGGGGAGAGGCCCUUGCAACGGUCGUUAUGUACCCCCACAGCCUUGUUAGGAACAGGAGGAGAACCUCGUCCUAACAUGAGCAAAGUCGAAGGUCCGAUUACUUAAAGACCGGAUGGGAGGAGAGGUCGUUGCAACGGCCCUUAUGUGCCCCCACAGCCUUAUUAGGAAUAGGAGAACCUCGUCCUAACAUGAGCAAAGUCGAAGGCUCGGUUACUUAAAGACCGGAUGGGGGGAAAGUCCCUUGCAACGGCCUUUAUGUGCCCCCACAGUCUUGUUAGGA